Molecule: ribosomal RNA, 544 nt
Filed under: Veillonella sp. oral clone BP1-85
Lineage: Bacteria; Bacillati; Bacillota; Negativicutes; Veillonellales; Veillonellaceae
Description: bacterial SSU rRNA
Rfam family: Bacterial small subunit ribosomal RNA
Source: RNAcentral
AGAGUUUGAUCCUGGCUCAGGACGAACGCUGGCGGCGUGCUUAACACAUGCAAGUCGAACGAAGAGCGAUGGAAGCUUGCUUCUAUCAAUCUUAGUGGCGAACGGGUGAGUAACGCGUAAUCAACCUGCCCUUCAGAGGGGGACAACAGUUGGAAACGACUGCUAAUACCGCAUACGAUCUAAUCUCGGCAUCGAGGAUAGAUGAAAGGUGGCCUCUACAUGUAAGCUAUCACUGAAGGAGGGGAUUGCGUCUGAUUAGCUAGUUGGAGGGGUAACGGCCCACCAAGGCGAUGAUCAGUAGCCGGUCUGAGAGGAUGAACGGCCACAUUGGGACUGAGACACGGCCCAGACUCCUACGGGAGGCAGCAGUGGGGAAUCUUCCGCAAUGGACGAAAGUCUGACGGAGCAACGCCGCGUGAGUGAUGACGGCCUUCGGGUUGUAAAGCUCUGUUAAUCGGGACGAAAGGCCUUCUUGCGAAUAGUGAGAAGGAUUGACGGUACCGGAAUAGAAAGCCACGGCUAACUACGUGCCAGCAGCCGCGGU